UUAAUUCUUAUAUUCGUGGAGCAUCUGUAAGAUAGUGUACAAGAGGUGCAUAUGCUUUGGGUGUUGGAAGAGCUCUAAUAAACUACUUGAAAUUAAUGUCAUGAUCGAAAGAACAGCAAAUUUUAAAAGCCAAGUUAAUAAGUGUUUACACCCUCUACCUUUAUAAAUAGAUAACCAAAGAUUGUACAAAAUGUGUGGCAAUCAUGAACAAUACACACUUUAGGUUGUUUUUCAUUUUGCUUAUUAUCCUUUCUUCUAAGAUGGUGAUAGAAACAGAAGGAAGUGAAUGCAGUGAUGAUGAAUGCAAUUGGAUUUGUAUUGAUAUAGGUUUUAUAGAUGGUAGAUGCUCCCCAAGUUCUAAUCAAUGCCUCUGCGUCAUCCACCGUAUGAUUAUUAGAUGAACAUGCAAAUGGACUUGUAUUUUGUUUUCUUCUUCUUCGUUUUUCCAUUUUGUUUUUAUCCCUCGCUUUGUUAUGAUGUGAAAUACAUAAUCCAUAAUGAUAGUCAUUUGUGUGUCUUGUUUUCCUUCAAUUAAUUUCAAUUUUUAUUUUGUUGUU
Vicia villosa (hairy vetch) is the source of this 557-nucleotide long non-coding RNA. RefSeq lists it as uncharacterized. The record is from RefSeq and is a predicted model, not a curated record. NCBI's taxonomy places the organism in Eukaryota, Viridiplantae, Streptophyta, Magnoliopsida, Fabales, Fabaceae. The transcript is spliced from 2 exons.